GGAGGCCACUGCUAUCGGGGUCCGACUAAGCCAUGCGAGUCACGGGGGUGUCCCUCUAGGACACCACCGGCGGACGGCUCAGUAACACGUCGGUAACCUACCCUCGGGAGGGGGAUAACCCCGGGAAACUGGGGCUAAUCCCCCAUAGGCCUGGGGUACUGGAAGGUCCUCAGGCCGAAAGGGGCUUUUGCCCGCCCGAGGAUGGGCCGGCGGCCGAUUAGGUAGUUGGUGGGGUAACGGCCCACCAAGCCGAAGAUCGGUACGGGCUGUGAGAGCAGGAGCCCGGAGAUGGACACUGAGACACGGGUCCAGGCCCUACGGGGCGCAGCAGGCGCGAAACCUCCGCAAUGCGGGAAACCGCGACGGGGGGACCCCGAGUGCCGUGCCUCUGGUACGGCUUUUCCGGAGUGUAAAAAGCUCCGGGAAUAAGGGCUGGGCAAGGCCGGUGGCAGCCGCCGCGGUAAUACCGGCGGCCCGAGUGGUGGCCGCUAUUAUUGGGCCUAAAGCGUCCGUAGCCGGGCCCGUAAGUCCCUGGCGAAAUCCCACGGCUCAACCGUGGGGCUUGCUGGGGAUACUGCGGGCCUUGGGACCGGGAGGGGCGGGGGGUACCCCUGGGGUAGGGGUGAAAUCCUAUAAUCCCAGGGGGACCGCCAGUGGCGAAGGCGCCCCGCUGGAACGGGUCCGACGGUGAGGGACGAAGGCCAGGGGAGCAAACCGGAUUAGAUACCCGGGUAGUCCUGGCUGUAAAGGAUGCGGGCUAGGUGUCGGGUGAGCUUCGAGCUCGCCCGGUGCCGUAGGGAAGCCGUUAAGCCCGCCGCCUGGGGAGUACGGCCGCAAGGCUGAAACUUAAAGGAAUUGGCGGGGGAGCACUACAAGGGGUGGGGCGUGCGGUUUAAUUGGAUUCAACGCCGGGAACCUCACCGGGGGCGACGGUAGGAUGAAGGCCAGGCUGAAGGUCUUGCCGGACACGCCGAGAGGAGGUGCAUGGCCGCCGUCAGCUCGUACCGUGAGGCGUCCACUUAAGUGUGGUAACGAGCGAGACCCGCGCCCCCAGUUGCCAGCCCUUCCCGCUGGGAAGGGGGCACUCUGGGGGGACUGCCGGCGAUAAGCCGGAGGAAGGAGCGGGCGACGGUAGGUCAGUAUGCCCCGAAACCCCCGGGCUACACGCGCGCUACAAUGGGCGGGACAAUGGGAUCCGACCCCGAAAGGGGAAGGGAAUCCCCUAAACCCGCCCCCAGUUCGGAUCGCGGGCUGCAACUCGCCCGCGUGAAGCUGGAAUCCCUAGUACCCGCGUGUCAUCAUCGCGCGGCGAAUACGUCCCUGCUCCUUGCACACACCGCCCGUCAAUC
Molecule: ribosomal RNA, 1349 nt
Filed under: uncultured euryarchaeote
Lineage: Archaea; Methanobacteriati; Methanobacteriota
Description: bacterial SSU rRNA
Rfam family: Archaeal small subunit ribosomal RNA
Source: RNAcentral